UUUAAAUGCAACCAUGAGUUUUCAUGCUCAAUUUUAAUUGUUCGUCUUAUUUGAUUUUUUUUAUAAUUAGUAUUUUUAUUGUUAUGAGAUGAUAAAAUAUGAAUAGUAAUUUAUGUAUGGCUUAUGUUUUUAUUUUUUUUUAAAAAAAAUAAAUAAAACGGACAAUCAAAGUUGGGCACAAAAAAUUAUGGCAGCACUUAGA
Oryza meridionalis is the source of this 202-nucleotide non-coding RNA. Lineage: Eukaryota; Viridiplantae; Streptophyta; Magnoliopsida; Poales; Poaceae. The record is from Rfam.